RNAcentral lists this long non-coding RNA (1677 nucleotides) under Octopus sinensis (East Asian common octopus). RNAcentral describes it as "uncharacterized LOC118766553". The record is from RNAcentral. Lineage: Eukaryota; Metazoa; Mollusca; Cephalopoda; Octopoda; Octopodidae.
AAGUAUACCGUAUAUGGGACCCUACUUUAAAUAAAGGUCAAUUGAAGGAGAACACUUUUUUAUAAAAAUAUUUAAGAAUUCUAAUCAUACAAAAGAAAGUGUGAUGUUAUGUUGUAGAACAAUGUUAGUCCUGUAGUCUAGAAAGGAAAGUCACUCUUACAGUUGUAAUUUUCAGAAUGCUUCUGCUUUUUUUUAUCGUAGUGCCAAUGUACUUAAGUACCAUUAGUUGUCAUUGAAUUAAAAAUGAAAAUUCCUCCCAAGUUUACUUGGAGAUGAAGUUUACAGAAAUAUUUUAAAAUCCCAACAGAAUCUAUUAAAAAACCCAUUGAAUAUAUAGAUAUAACUCUAAACCAUAUCCCACUGCUAGUUGAAUCUCAAGACAAGAGAAUUCUAGUCCAGUAACAUUAAUGCUUUAUUUUACGUAGCUCAAGGAUUGAAACCAAGCUGAGAAACUCACAUGUGAUAUGUUAUUGUUUCAUCCACUUGCUAUUAUAGAAAUCAAACUAAACCCCCACAGUUUGUGCAGCGUUAACUUAAGUGAAAAGGCUUUAUGAUUAAAUAAUAGACUGCACCAUGCCAGCUGUUAAUCUUUUAUGGUAUAUUUUAAACUGGUAGCUAUCUUAAUAGAAUUUUGCAUUCAAUGAAAUACUAAUGCUAGUGUCUUCAAUAAUAGAGAUGCUUGUGGUUGUAGGACACUGUUUUGUAGUAUUUAAUUACAGCCUCUUCAGUUUUAACUUCAUAUCUUGUUGAGGCUGACUAGCUGGUAUUCCUUGAUAAAAUAAGUUAUAUAGUAGAGGGAAUUCUAUAGCCUAAACUUCUUAAUAAUUAGAAAUAUUUUCUUGCUAAGGACAUUAGCAGAAGAAAACAAUAUAUCAACUAAUAACCUGGAUAAAAUAACUAUACUGCAAAUAUAUAAGGAACAAAUGUUAGCAAUGUUAGUCUUUUAGUCAUUUUUAACCAUUUUUAUGCAAAUAUAUUUUAACUUCAUGCAUCUUACACAGCUUAUAGGUAUUAUAAGAUGGUUAGAAUCUCAAAUGGCUACUCAGAAAUUCAUCAGUUACCUUUAAAAUGCUUCACUGUAGUAUACACAAUACCAAUAGCUAUAUAUUAGUUGAUGUACUUAUAUCAUAAUGCUGAAAGCUUCCUGUUGUUAAUGUAACAGUUCAUUCUGCAAAUUUGUUCCUACAGAUUUGGUAAGUUCAAAUACUAAGGAUUUAAUAGAGGAGUUUAGACAGCUGCAUUCUUUCCAUUACUAAAUAUUUGGUACUUAUUUUAUCAAGGGGCAAAGCCAGUCAAUGCUAAUGAUCAAUAUUUAGUUUUGAUUUCUACAAUAGGAAAUGAAUGAGACAAAUCUUUCCCUGAAGGGCUUUUUUUUGUUGUUGUUGUUUUUUUGUUGUGAACAACAUUGGAAACAGACAAACACGUGGUUCAUUUUUUAGUUGAAGAUAUCUGAAAAUAUUGUUAUAUAUACAUUGGCCAGUAUAUGUUAGAAGUGAAUCAAUGUCCAGAGAUUGAUCAUUGAUCAAAGUGACCAAUUAUUGCAUUUGACUGUAACAAAGCUGUUCAUUGUUUUCUUGUGCUAUUAUUUAGCAUUGAUACAGUCCUGUUCCUGAAAUAUUUAUUUUACCUUAUUUUUGUUGGAGCAAAUAAAACCAAUAGUAUUUUAUUAAUUUGUGA